ACUCCUACGGGAGGCAGCAGUGGGAAUUUGCACAAUGGGGAACCCUGAUGCAGCGACGCCGCGUGAUUUAGAAGGCCUUCGGGUUGUAAAUCUUUGUAUAGGAAGAAAUGACAGUACUAUACGAAUAAGGUCCGGCUAAUUACGUGCCAGCAGCCGCGGUAAUACGUAAGGACCGAGCGUUGUCCGGAAUCAUUGGGCGUAAAGGGUACGUAGGCGGGUCAUUAAGUUAGAAGUCAAAGGCUAUAGCUCAACUAUAGUAAGCUUCUAAAACUGGA
This 275-nucleotide ribosomal RNA is filed under the name uncultured bacterium. Its description in RNAcentral is "partial 16S ribosomal RNA". It matches the Rfam family "Bacterial small subunit ribosomal RNA", at positions 335 to 637 of the family's 1533-position model. The record is from RNAcentral.